AAGCCAGGACUGCUUUUCUGGAGUGAUAAUGUGCUUGCCUGUGUCUAAGAGAAAGGUGAAGAAUUGGGAAACCCAUGGGUGUCACGAAGGGUGGUGAGACUGGGGAACGUUUUAGAAAACCUGGAGAUUAGGGACUGGAAUGCCCAUUUGGCUGCUGCCAAUCAAUAUAAGAGAAAAUGAAGCGAUCACAUCUAAGAAAAUUUGCUCAUUACUUACCAGCAAAAUCAAAACUUGAUUAGCCAAUCUGAAGACCUCUAGGAAAUGAGCACUAUUUUUCCCACUUAAUGGAUGUUCAAGCUUAAGAGGCUAAAUGAUGUUCCUAUAUUAAUAUCUCAAUGGUCAAACUGCCAUUAGAACUCAACAUUCUUGAAUUUUAAAGGUAUCGGUUUUACCAUUGUUCAGAAUUCAUCAGAAUUGGCCCAGUCUCAGCACAGAAAACUGUAUAGUUCAAAAGCAUAAUUGGUCCGUGCCUGAUUUGCACUACAAUUUCCAGAAUUUUUUUCCCUGUACGUGACUGGUGGAGGCACUAGCUAGUCUUUGCUACAAGAACAUUAUGAGAUUUACAUAUGCACAACUCUAAACUAAAUUAGUUCCUCCAGGACAAUUUACUGAGCUUUUUAACACCACCGUCAAGCACUGUUGCAAGGACAGAUAAUAGGGGCUCAGAUAAUAUCUGAUAAAUGAAUAAAUGGGUCCUUUUGCUCUCCCAGGACUGGGCUAGAGCACUUGACUAAACUGAUGUGUGAGGUAGCAAUUUGUGUACAGAAGUCAUGAGUUUUGAGGAAAAAGAAAUUAAAGAAACAUGUUCUCUAAAAACUGCAGUCAUUGGUCAAGAAUACGAGUCUACUUGUGAUUUCAUACAAAUAAUGGGUGGACAGUGAGCUAUGAAAUUUAUGAAUACUCUAAGCAAAGGUUGGUCAGCAUACGUGCUAAACAGGAAAUCCUGAUAAGUAGGAAUAGUGCAAGCCACACUGCAACUUUUAUCAUAUUAGGUUGGUGCAAGGUCUACCAGAUGUGUCUUGCCUUCCCAUGUGUAAGGUCAACCAGAUAGCUCUCACCUUUCCAUGUCUAAGGUCAACCAGGGGGUGCUUGCCUUCCCGUGUCUAAGGUCGACCAGAUGGCUGUGUGCACCAACCUAAUAGAACAUCAUAAGUAUCUUGAGUUCAAGAUAAAUCCAUACCUUACCUACACUGUCUCCCAAUUAUUAUCAAUUGUCUUCUGCCAUCUCUUAAGUCAUUAUUAUGUCAAAUAAUUAAAGUCGGUGUUUCCUUUAGUUUUGUCACUGGUGAUACUACUACUUGCUCUUCAAAAUGUAUCUUUAUUCAUCUAACAUUUUGCAAAGUAAAGUUUCAAAGUUGUUCAGCAAGAAAGACAUUAUUGGAUGCCCAGGUUUGUAUUAGUUUGACUUAUAUUAUUAUUAAUUAGCACCCCUUUUAACUCUCAAAAGUAUGUCCUAGUAUAGAUGAUAAUUUAUAUGAUCACUCUAUAAAUAAGAGUGUCCAGAUAAUAAGGAAUAAGAAGAAUAAUUUUAGAAAUUCAAAGGGGAUUCAUAAGGAUAUAUUGCAAAUCAGGUUCCAGGUUUAUAGGUGAAGACUAAUUUCAACAUUGGUGAUAAUAAGGGGAAAAUGAGUUGCAGCGUGGGGGUGAGUAUGAAGAAUUAGGCAGUUGCUAUGUGAUGAAAAUGCCCUACUAGGAGAUUUUAUUAAGAAAAAAAUCUUAUUUUUUUUCUUAAUAACAGUACCCUGGCUGAUAAAUGGGACUUGGAUUUUAAAUACCAUUGGAUAAUAAAUGUAUGUGAUGGCUUUGGAGCAAAUUGAUUGACAAUGGCUAGGUAAGACUUCAGCCACUUUUCUAAGGACUGUUUCUAUAGACUAACCUAGAUAUAUUUUUCUCAUCCGUCACUUCCAGUUACUUUGAAUGUAACUCCUUCUGUAAACAUUAAAAAAGAAAAAGAUGAAGGGAUAGGGAUGGAAGGAAUAGAGGUCUCUGAUAACAUCCUAUAAUACUAACAUAGAAGUGCUUCUGAAUCAUAAAUAACUCCAUUCCUUUCCCUGAGAAACUAAAAUCACUGUUUUAAAAUGUGAAUCUGCUACUCAGGAGGCUGAGGCGGGAGAAGUGCUGGAGACCAGGAGUUCGAGACCAGACUGAACAACGUAGUGAGACCACCCCCGCCCCCGACCCCCAGCCCCAACUAAAAAAUAAGGACUAAAAUUAGCCAGGUGUGGUGGUGCAUGUGUGUAGUCCCAGCUGCUCAGGAGGCUGAGGCAGGAGGAUCACUUGAGCCCAGGAGCUAUGAUCAUGCCACCAUAGUCCAGCCUGGGCAACACAGUGAGACCCAUCUCUAAAAAUGUGAAUCUGUGUGUAUUGGUGUAAAGCAACCCUGGGAAUUAUUGACAUUUUGAAAAACAAGAAGGGGUGAGACAGUCCUGCCAGUUCCUCCUUUUUCAGUCUCCAUAUGUAUAAAUAACAUGCAAAUAGUCAUAUAACGCAGAGAAACUGGAAGUGUAUUGAAUUUGCAACUUUUUUUUUUUUUUUUUUUUUUUUUUUUUUUGCUUGAGGGCUUCCAUUUAGUGAGCACUCCUCAGUACUCACAGCAGAGUAUUGCCAGAGGAACUGUAAAAAAUUAAGUUUGCUAUCAGGCAACCAGCAAUUGACUAGGUAUGGCAUGUAUCAGUGUAUCCACCAGGCGGUACUGAGGCUUCAUUUCUUUGCUUAUUUGAAAAUAAGGUGGAAAAUGGCACAACAGCCUGACCUGAUUUGCAAUGUGUCCCUUAGAGCUUAGGCUAGCCAUUCAGUCUUUUCCUUUUCUAGGUAACUAACAGUGGCUGGACUAUGGCUUUGAAUAUGGGUCACAGAUGAGUAAGCCUUCCUCAACUGGUUCUGCUUCCUGUUUUCCAUAUAUAGGGGCCCCAUUUUUUCCUUUUCAAGUCCACACAGCAUUGCCUCCAAUGGGUGUGAGCAUUCCUUACCAGCAUUCAGAUGCUGAACAUUUUUAACAGCCUACGGGAAACAGUGUUUUAGGCAGCUCUUUUCAAACACUGAGUUUCUUCAGCUGUGGAAGAGAAUGUCCUUCCCAAAUAAGAAUUAAAAAAAAUGCCCAAUAUAAGCAAUUGAAUAGCACUGGAGUUAUUUUUAGGAACCAGGGUCACUCACUACAGGAAAUGAUCGUGUUGCCAAUGCGUUAAAGCUAGUGACUUUAAAAAAUAUUAUUUAUUUUCUCAUUUAACUGCAUCUCGAGGAAAGUUAGCAGUUGCAAUUUUAAGUUAGGAACUUCUCAAUUUCAGGCCAGAUUCAUUAGGGAGUAGGAAGGAUACCUUUCACUUAAAAAAAGGCAUUUGGGCUAAGUAAGAACACCUCCCCUGCAACUCCCUCCCGCCCUCCCGCACAACACUCAAAUUAAUCCCCACAACAUAUUAUCUUAGGCAGAGUUCUUGCCUCAUGCCUAUGAAUGGGAUGUCAUGAAACCCCUAAAAUUCUAGACAGAAUUUUACUUACACAUAUAUAUCUGCAUUGUUGUGGUUUGAAUGAGAUCUUAACCACAAAACAUUAAGAAUAACUAUUUUAAGCACUUACACGAUUAGUUCUUUUAUAGACUACCUGCCUAAACAAAUGUCAUUGUGGUUGCCUUGGAACUGUGAGUCGUAUAUUGAUUAGUUUAAUCAAAAACAAUAUUUAAAACAUCAGAUAGUGCUUCCAAAUAUUUUCUUAUGACAUGAUUUUCACUGCAUGUUAUUUAACCUGCAAGAGGUAGAACAGAAAAAGCAGAAUCUUUCGUGAUCAAACCGCACAACUAAAGAGUGUGCUGUUUAUGUCUACUUUUCAAGGUAAGAUAAACUUCAAAGAGAAAUGAACUUUUAAUUUCAAAUUCCAAUUUACAUAUUAGGACUUAAAUGACUUCAAAUCAUAUCUAAAAAUCACCAUAACCAAACCAUUGUAAAUUUUUACUUACAUUGAGAAUAAAAAUAAAUAAAUGUUAAGUAUAUUUCCUAAUAAUAUUUGCCAUGCAGCAUUUGGAAGAACAAGUCCUGUGACGCUUCUACUUUAAGAUUUCUGCAUUGUUGUUGGCUGAUGUCAUAGACUGUUCCUCUAUGAUCACAAGAAUUCCCUAUUUAGAACUGCAUAUGGGUGCCCGUUGGGUAACGUUUCAAGUUGAAAGAAUUUUGCAUUUUGUGUUAUUGUACUAGAAUGAAAUAAUCUUAAUCUGAAAAGUUUUGAUGGUUAAACUCUUUAAUAUUUUUGUAUUCCUGACUAUUUUCUUCAUUUAGCUAAGUUUACACUGAAGUCCUUAAUUACCCUUCUCCUUUUAUGAUAAAAAUAACAUCCUUCAUUAUCUAUAAUUUUCCAGUGGCUUCCACAUGCCAAAAACGUCAACUACACAAUUUUUCUCUUAUAGUCAGAACACUGGCUUGUGGAAAUGAAGCACUUCAUUCGAAAUUUCACCAGUAAAUGUUGUUGAUGUGUGAUCUCUAGCUUACAGAAUAGAUGGAACUGCAUUCUUACAUUUAAACAAUUAUCCUCUGAUUAAAUAAAUUCAAAUACAUCUAAGGAAUAGAAUAAUUAUCAGUUUUAAAUAAAAAUUAGUUAGACAAGUUUAACAAGAUGCCCAAUGCGUUGCAGUACAUAAUCCUUUUUGUGAAGUUUUUUUUUUUUUUUUUUUAAAGACGAAUUCUUGCUCUUGUCAUCCAGGCUGGAGUGUAAUGGCGCGAUCUUGGCUCACUCUGCCUCCCAGAUUCAAACGAUUCUCCUGCCUCGGCCUCCCGAACAGCUGGGAUUACAGGCGCCCACCACCAUGCCUGGCUUUUUUUCGUAUUUUUAGUAGAGAUGGGUUUUUGCCAUGUUGGCCAGGCUGGUCAACAAAGUAAUUUUGAUAGUAUCCACAUUUGACCGGGCGCAGUGGCUCACGCUUGUAAUUCCAGCACUUUGGGAGGCUGAGGCGGA
RNAcentral lists this long non-coding RNA (4938 nucleotides) under Homo sapiens (human). RNAcentral's name for it is "non-protein coding ITGB1-DT:33". Lineage: Eukaryota; Metazoa; Chordata; Mammalia; Primates; Hominidae. The record is from RNAcentral.